RNAcentral lists this long non-coding RNA (1374 nucleotides) under Fragaria vesca (wild strawberry). Its description in RNAcentral is "long non-coding RNA (FVES_LNC004016)". Lineage: Eukaryota; Viridiplantae; Streptophyta; Magnoliopsida; Rosales; Rosaceae. The record is from RNAcentral.
UGAAAGCCGCCUUGCUCUGAUCCAAAUCUUUCUGGAUCCUUUGAAGGGAACCUGUCACCAAGUCUUUAUCUUCCCUGACUUUACCAGCAACGUAGUUAAACUCCUCGCUGAGCCUAGCAUGGUUCUCUUGGUUAGCGAGCCAGAUAGUCCUAUCCUUAGUGACCUGUUCAGAGAGGUCUUGGACGCUUUGCUGGGUGGUGUCGACUUUCGAGCUGAGCGAGUCAAUGUUUUACUGGGUGGUGUCGACUUUCGAGCCGAGCUCAUUCUUGAGCUCGUUCUUCAGUUCCCCAAACAUCUGGUGGACUUCAUCCGCGGGCAGAGUAGGUCCUACGUCUUGGGUUGGUCGUGAACCUGUCAUUGUGGUUUUGCUAUGGUCGGGGUUGCCAAACCGAGCGGAACCUCUUCUUGGGUGAGAGAUCGGCAAGCCGCGCUGUUAUGGGGCUUGUAUUGCGGAGAUUUAUGUUUCAAACAAGAAAUCGAGGGUCUCCCGUAUGGGGAUCCGCCUGAUUUCCCAAUGAUGACGGGAAUAUUACACUCCCGGUCCCACUAAGCGUGCCAAUGUUUUGGCCACGAUCCUCAACAGGGGUAGAGAGGUAACUUGUGCUACCAAAAAGUAAAUUAGGGUUUGUAGGGCGUGCCACCCCGCGGACGCGGAACGAGAACGGUGCGCGUUCUUGACUUCUAAUCAGGUGAAGUAGAGCUCCGGUGUCACCUCGCGGGCGAGGAAUUACGAGCAAACUAUCUAGUCACCUGUGAAUCGAUACUCACUGUUCGAAGCGAGCAGAGCAACAAUUGGGAAAGAGAGGCGAGUCCAGACAGGCUCUGAGAUCUAAGGCGAGGUGCACUUAGAACUUAGGGUUUCGAGGAUGCUCGAAGAUUUGCAGUUGUUUUGUAUGAUUGAUUGUGUGUGUAGUCAGCUAAACCAGAUCCUCGAACUCUCUUAUAUAGCGAUCCGUAAGCAAUUCGCAGAGACCUAAUCACAAAUCCAUUCGGACUCAGCAAUUAGAAUUCCACCAGGAAACGACUAGCUCGCGAGCCGCGCGAUCCAUGCAACACGUGUCCAAAACAGACUUCGCCUAGGUCUCGCUCACCGCCCCGCAUCAUAUCACUGUAGCGUCGUACGCGAACUCGAGCACUAAGCGAUCCUAUCCCGCGGGUACUACAGUCCAUUUCCAACUCUACCUCGCCAUGCGCUUUAGAAACCUACACGAACUAGAACAAAGGAUCCCGCGAGGACAUCGAAUCCCGCGAGGUAUCAGAAUCUUUGCAAAACUCCAACUCGCGUGUUGCCAGACUUCGCCACCCUUCGUGGGCUUCGCAUUAAAAAAGGGCCACAGGUACUGGCCCAAAUGUUAUCCAAAACCUACCCCGAGU